Haplochromis burtoni (Burton's mouthbrooder) is the source of this 2442-nucleotide long non-coding RNA. RefSeq lists it as uncharacterized. NCBI's taxonomy places the organism in Eukaryota, Metazoa, Chordata, Actinopteri, Cichliformes, Cichlidae. The record is from RefSeq and is a predicted model, not a curated record. The transcript has 4 exons.
UCGGGCUGGCACGCUGUCAGUUUCACUAGCACACAGCUGCUUCUGGAAAAUUCUGCACCCUGCCCUACUAAACCACCAGGCAUGACAUGAAUAACAAGAAUGGCCCAGCCAUCAACAGCAGAUACUUUUCCUUUUGACGUGGGCCUAACAGACUGGUACAAAUGCCCUGGCCUUGCACAUAGUGGAAAAAUCAACAAUGAAGGGGACACCGGGGCACAAUGUGGAAAUGAAAUCCCGGGUUUAGGAGGCUUUGUCUGGACAAGGACGCAGUUGACAUAGAGCCCGAGGGCUUUGCAAAAAGGCCGUGCAACAAAAUGCCAACUGAUGUGUUUUGAUGGGGUUACUCGUUCACCAGCCGGUCACUAAUUGGAGAGUAAGAACCCACUAAAUUGCUUUCAGUCAGCAUGGAGCUGUGGCGAAUUUCCUUUCCGAGCUGCAUGUGUCAUUUUGUUGCCCCUCGAAGACGGCGGCAGAAAAAGAAAGCAUGAAAUGUGGUAGCUAGUGUGUGUUUUGUGUGUUCCUAACAUGACCAGUCAACACUUGCCCCAGAUCUAAGUACAGCUUUCCCAGCAGUGAUGAGAUAAUGCUAGCCCUUAUCCCUCUAUGAGGUUGUUAGAUAUGUGCAACCCUCUGUAGUGUUGACAUUUCCGUGCCCAACCCAAGUGAACACAUAGGGCCACAGAGGCUCCUCUCAGGCUGUCUGUAUCCAUGGCAGAUAAAGAGGUGAGUCAGCCACUCAUCUAUCCAGUUCUCCUCCUCCUCUGCAUGGCAAUACUCCUACCCUUAGCCCCCGUCAUCCUCGUUCACAAGGCCUUAUGUGUACAUUCAGCACAUGGUGGAUUGUAUAAAUAGCAGCGACCGCGUGGCUCGCCGCUGACACCUGACAUUUUCAUGCCCCAGCAAGCCGCUGAUACAUUUGGCGCUUGGCACGCAUUCUUCUCUCGGGUUUAUCCAUCUGUUGAUGUAGAGCCCAACCCCCCGAGCCUCUACUAUGUUCCUGUAACAUAACACGAGCCUCUCCUUUCCCUCUAUUCAUCUUAACAUGCAAGCACCGCAUGGCACAGACUUCACCCCUCCCUCCUACCUCCAUGUUUUUCUCUGGCUCUUACUCGCUCUCCCUCCCCCCAUCGUGCUGCCUUUCUUUUUCCUCUCUCUGCCUAACAACACCCAACAAACACACGCUGCACAAUCCACCCAAGUCAUUAGUCUUCAGACUGGCGUUCAGCUGGUCUCAGAAACCCACCAACAUGGGGAACAAAAGUGAGAUGGGAAUUGCGUGAAGCUGGAGUGAUAGUGCUGGCAAAGAACUGAAUGUGAGAUUGUGUGCAGGCAGGGUACUUCCUGGCUGCCCGCCAACUUCCAGCAGCAGCACUGCAGCAUGUCAAUAUGUCCGUUGCCAGGGAAACAGCGAGAGCACACACAGUCCAUAGAAAACCUUAUUGCUACACUUUACACUCUUCUUCCUCUUUUUAAACUCCAGCUCAAAAAUGCUCAAUGAAGCUGUAUUACUCUCCAGGCUAGGGAAGAGCAUUACUAAAGGGGGGUUAUGAUGAACCCCCAUGGACUUAGCCAACCACCAAGAGCUGCUGGAAGGGCAUCAUCCCUAACUGGCUUCCCACCCUUGAACAUGCUUCUCAUGUGAUCAGCACUCAACACCAAAGGCUACUCUGAGCCCCACCCCCUCGCCCCCUUCAGUACUUUGAAGACCGACAGAGAGAGUCUGUUACCAGAGAAACAAAGGAGUGUAUGAGGAAUGCAGCUCUGAGUCAGCACAGAGGAACGCCAGUGAAAGCCAAUAUGAGACAGAGGAUGGAUUAUAUGAGAGACCUUAUGAGAGCUUGGACUGCCAUAAAUUUCCUGUUGCUACUGGAGCAGUGACACUCUGGAGGAUACAGCCGAGCAGUAUUUUCUUAGCUCGGUGACAGCCAAUCAAGAGAAAGCCCAUAAAACAUAUCACUUUUGUAAUUUUUUUCCCGUCUGUGCUAAGUUGCAGCUUUAAAAAUCCCACUGGGGUUCAAACCUGACUUCCCUUCAGUUAUUUGUUGGCUGCAGAAAGCAGUACCACUCCGAUUCUCAUUAUUUAACAUGUUGCAUCAGAAACCCAGUGGGUGCAUCUGCACAUGAGCUUCAUCUGCCAAUUUAGAAGCAACUUGUUAACCUCGACAUGGAAAAGAUUCAGAUUACUGGUCAGUACAAGCAAGAGCUCACCCUGAACGAUAUGCAGUCUGAACCUGUUGGAUGUUUCUCAUAAGUUUAUGGUUUUGGAAGUUGUUGGGUGGCCUUAUGUAAGAAUCGCUACCUCAAGCAAUCUAAGAGCGGAUUUGUGCCUGCUGCGAUAAUGACCUGAUUUUAAGACCCAUCCAGACAAGCCGACAAAUUGAUGCCAAGGUUGUGUUUUUAUGUUGACUAGCGACUGUGAGACAAACACAGACAAACACAUGG